Molecule: ribosomal RNA, 513 nt
Filed under: uncultured bacterium
Lineage: Bacteria
Description: partial 16S ribosomal RNA
Rfam family: Bacterial small subunit ribosomal RNA
Source: RNAcentral
GAUGAACGCUGGCGGCGUGCCUAAUACAUGCAAGUCGAGCGAACAGAUAAGGAGCUUGCUCCUUUGACGUUAGCGGCGGACGGGUGAGUAACACGUGGGUAACCUACCUAUAAGACUGGGAUAACUUCGGGAAACCGGAGCUAAUACCGGAUAACAUUUGGAACCGCAUGGUUCUAAAGUGAAAGAUGGUUUUGCUAUCACUUAUAGAUGGACCCGCGCCGCAUUAGCUAGUUGGUAAGGUAACGGCUUACCAAGGCGACGAUACGUAGCCGAUCAGAGAGGGAGAUCGGACAAACUGGAACUGAGACACGGUCCAGACUCCUACGGGAAGCAGCAGUAGGGAAUCUUCCGCAAUGGGCGAAAGGCUGACGAAGCAACGCCGCGUGAGUGAUGAAGGGUUUCGGCUCGUAAAACUCUGUUAUUAGGGAAGAACAAAUGUGUAAGUAACUGUGCACGUCUUGACGGUACCUAAUCAGAAAGCCACGGCUAACUACGUGCCAGCCGCCGCCGUAA